UCCCCUUAAUCCCCUCUUCUUCCUCUCUCUUCUCACCCUCUCUCACUCUCUGACCUAAGCCCCUCGCUCCGCCUGCUGCCGCCGCCGGAAUUCGCCAUCGGUGGCGGAGCACCUCCAAACACCCCCAAAUCAUCACCAUACACUCCCCUCAAUCUACUCUUUCCAAAUCUCCUACCCAAAUCCCUCAAAACCCACUCAAAUUCCACGAGUUUUAGAUCUAAGAAACCCCACAACCCAUUUUUUUUUUAAAUCGUGAAGAUUGAGCCAUCUCCUCUACCUAAUACCCAUAUGUAGGGAUAGAGCUCGGUGUGGGCUACCAACGGACUUGUCCUCGACCCGAAAUUCUGGUGACUAGAUUACGGCGGGUUGCCAACAACCACCAAAAAUGGCGAAUCUCUUUGUUUUUGUCUAUAUUCGGACCUAGAGCGAGAUUUUACUGUUGAUUACAUUGAAAUUGAACUCCGGUUCACCAGAGUUUAAAUGUUUCAGUGUUUAUCAACAAUAAGAGCUUGCUCGGGAUUGAACACUUCUGGAACUGCCACCACUGCCACUGUUCCGCCAUUGCCCGAGUGCUCGAGUUUGAUUUGUAAUAGCAAUGAGUGAUGGUUGGAGCACGUUUAUAUUAUUUAAGCAUCUUUAAAGGAGUUUGCCAAAAGUUCUACUUUUGAAUCCAGCUUGGGGAUCAUAGUGCUAAAUCCAUGACUUUGCUGCUUUGUUUUUUCUCUGUAGUAUUUUUUCCCCUUCUUUUAAAUAGUAUUUUUUCAAUAUAAUCUUGGCAAUAUUUUAGAAAAGGAAAUAGUAUGUUAAAUAUUUAAUGAAGACUUUGGAGUGGACAGAAGCUAUGGAGUUUGUGGAAAAGAGUCUUGUUUGGCUUAAGAUCUCUGCCAUUUUGCUUGCUGGAAGUUGGAAUUAAUAUCAUCAAAGAAUCACAUAAUGAUCUAGUUUUAUUAUUCCCCUACAGUAGCAAUGUUAUUUUCGGCUUUAGUUGAUUUCUCGUUACCCAAUUGUUCGUUCUAGAUUUUAUGUUUCUUUUACUAGUCCCCUUUAGUACUACUUUAGUUAGUGAAAGCUGAAAUUUUUCUUUCUUCCAAGUCACAUGGAAAUAGUGUGGGCUGUUUGUACAGUUGUUAAGCUAUUAGCUCAUAUCAGCUAAUGAGUUACAUUUAUGUUUAA
This is a long non-coding RNA of Nicotiana tabacum (common tobacco), 1173 nucleotides long. RefSeq lists it as uncharacterized. NCBI's taxonomy places the organism in Eukaryota, Viridiplantae, Streptophyta, Magnoliopsida, Solanales, Solanaceae. The record is from RefSeq and is a predicted model, not a curated record.